This 326-nucleotide ribosomal RNA is filed under the name uncultured bacterium. RNAcentral's name for it is "bacterial SSU rRNA". It matches the Rfam family "Bacterial small subunit ribosomal RNA", at positions 28 to 363 of the family's 1533-position model. The record is from RNAcentral.
GAUGAACGCUAGCGGCAGGCCUAAUACAUGCAAGUCAAGGGGCCAGCAAUGGCACCGGCGGACGGGUGCGUAACGCGUACACAACGUACCUCUGACAGGGGGAUAGCAUUGGGAAACUGGUGGUAAUACCCCAUAGUAUUGCUGAGAGGCAUUUCUUGGCGAUUAAAGUUUCGGCGGUCAGAGAUCGGUGUGCGUCCGAUUAGCUAGUUGGCGGGGUAACGGCCCACCAAGGCGACGAUCGGUAGGGGGUGUGAGAGCAUGACCCCCCCACAUGGGUACGUGAGACACGGACCCAACCUACCUACGGGAGGCAGCAGUAAGGAAGU